Long non-coding RNA from Herpailurus yagouaroundi (jaguarundi), 1486 nucleotides. RefSeq lists it as uncharacterized. The transcript is spliced from 6 exons. NCBI's taxonomy places the organism in Eukaryota, Metazoa, Chordata, Mammalia, Carnivora, Felidae. The record is from RefSeq and is a predicted model, not a curated record.
UCAGUACAGAGCCCGAUGUGGGGCUCGAACUCAUGAGCUCUGAGAUCACGACCUGAGCUGAAGUCAGACGCUCAACUGACUGAGCCACCCAAGCACUCCCAGAGUGCUCUCCUAUUGGUGGGUCUUGCCCCUCAGGAAAUCCCCUUGCUUUGCACAUGGCUAUAGAGUUUCUUGAGACAGUGCCCUUGUUUAUUUGUCACUGUGUGGUAAAGCCCAGCACUUAGUUUGUCACCAAAAAGUACUGCUUCGCUCUCCGUGGUUGGAAAUCUUUUCUGAUAUAUCAAGGGAUAUUCCUUCUGAAACUUAAAAAUGAGUUUCUUCCCGUUCCACCUCCACUAUCCUCACCUUUUUUGAAGAACAGAUUCUCCUCUAAUCUAUGGAGAGCCAAUCAGAGCAUGGCCCUGUCUCCAACGCACUCACCCUCAACCACCUAAAAGAUGUGUAUUUAGCCUGGAUGGGGCCAAUCAGAGUCCAUGUGAAGAACUUUUCAAACUGAUUGAUGGAAGACAUUGGAGACCUCUUUACUUGAACUCCCUGCAGACUGAGAAGAAGACACUCAGUUGAUUUGAAGGAAUUCAAAUUGUUUAAGCGAAGGAUUUUUGAAGACUGUGGAUCAUCUUGGAUUUUAUGUAUCCCACUGGGUCUAUCUGAAACUGUGACGUAGCCACAAACAACUACCAGGAAAUGAAACAAAAAUUAAGAUGCAACUGUGUGACAGUGGACAAAAAUAAAACAAAAACAAUAGUAAAGUUAAAAAAAUAAAGCAUUACUAUAGUAUAUAUUGUUAGUAUAGUACAACAGCAGUUGCUUAAUUCAGAAGCCACUUAAAUAGGACACAUGCAACAUUCAGUUACAAAGUGCAAGACUGAGUAGAGGUUUUCCAACUUGUGAUAUAAAUCACUUAAAAAUCUUUUCAACAAUCUAAUUAAAGGAAUUGAGUCAAAUACAUUAAAAAAUCACUGGCUUCAUCUACAAGUAUUAGAAAGCUCUUAAUUAUAAGACAACUAACUGUACUACAAUAAAACUUACACAUUUGGUCUUUGUCUCUAGUAACUGGUAUAGUGCUCCUAAAAUGUUUGGAAUUUCCAGAGAGGGCGUCUUUUGUUAUGCAUAGUACAUCUACUGGAGAACAUCUGAGUUUAUGGUAAUGAGGUGACUUAGGGCUGAACUUGCUUAGAAGGUUGGAGCUUUCAACCUACCUCAGACCUCCCUGAACAACAGAAGGAUGCGGACUGAAGACUCAGCAAAAUCACCAAUAACUGAUGAUUCAAUCAAUCAUGCCUAUGUAACUAACCCUCAGUUAAAACUAUGAAGUAACAAGGCCAACGGAGCAUACAGGUUGGUGAACACAUUGACAUGAUUGGGAGGGUGGAAUCCCUGGAGAGGGCAUGAAAGCUGUGUACAACCCUUACUUCUUCCACAUAGCUGUUUCUGAUUUGUAUCUUUUAUAAAAACUGGUACUCAUUAAAUAAAGCAGUUUCCAGAG